RNAcentral lists this ribosomal RNA (253 nucleotides) under uncultured bacterium. RNAcentral's name for it is "partial 16S ribosomal RNA". It matches the Rfam family "Bacterial small subunit ribosomal RNA", at positions 524 to 776 of the family's 1533-position model. The record is from RNAcentral.
UACGUAGGGGGCAAGCGUUGUCCGGAAUUAUUGGGCGUAAAGAGCGCGUAGGCGGUCCGAUAAGUCGGCUGUGAAAGUCAGGGGCUCAACCCUUGAAAGCCGGCCGAUACUGUCGGACUAGAGUCCGGAAGAGGCGAGUGGAAUUCCCGGUGUAGCGGUGAGAUGCGCAGAUAUCGGGAGGAACACCAAUGGCGAAGGCAGCUCGCUGGGACGGUACUGACGCUGAGACGCGAAAGCGUGGGGAGCGAACAGG